GAUGAACGCUGGCGGCGUGCCUAAUACAUGCAAGUCGAGCGAACGGACGAGAAGCUUUCUUCUCUGAUUUUAGCGGCGGACGGGGGAGUAACACGUGGAUAACCUACCUAUAAGACUGGGAUAACUUCGGGAAACCGGAGCUAAUACCGGAUAAUAUUUUGAACCGCAUGGUUCAAAAGUGAAAGACGGUCUUGCUGUCACUUAUAGAUGGAUCCGCGCUGCAUUAGCUAGUUGGUAAGGUAACGGCUUACCAAGGCAACGAUGCAUAGCGGACCUGAGAGGGUGAUCGGCCACACUGGAACUGAGACACGGUCCAGACUCCUACGGGAGGCAGCAGUAGGGAAUCUUCCGCAAUGGGCGCAAGCCUGACGGAGCAACGCCGCGUGAGUGAUGAAGGUCUUCGGAUCGUAAAACUCUGUUAUUAGGGAAGAACAUAUGUGUAAGUAACUGUGCACAUCUUGACGGUACCUAAUCAGAAAGCCACGGCUAACUACGUG
RNAcentral lists this ribosomal RNA (497 nucleotides) under uncultured bacterium. RNAcentral's name for it is "partial 16S ribosomal RNA". It matches the Rfam family "Bacterial small subunit ribosomal RNA", at positions 28 to 507 of the family's 1533-position model. The record is from RNAcentral.